This 496-nucleotide ribosomal RNA is filed under the name uncultured bacterium. RNAcentral's name for it is "partial 16S ribosomal RNA". It matches the Rfam family "Bacterial small subunit ribosomal RNA", at positions 29 to 507 of the family's 1533-position model. The record is from RNAcentral.
AUGCACGCUGGCGGCGUGCCUAAUCCCUGCCAGUCGCGCGAACAGACGAGGAGCUUGCUCCUCUGACGUUAGCGGCGGCCGGGUGAGUAACACGUGGAUAACCUACCUAUAAGACUGGGAUAACUUCGGGAAACCGGAGCUAAUACCGGAUAAUAUAUUGAACCGCAUGGUUCAAUAGUGAAAGAUGGUUUUGCUGUCACUUAUAGAUGGAUCCGCGCCGCAUUAGCUAGUUGGUAAGGUAACGGCUUACCAAGGCAACGAUGCGUAGCCGACCUGAGAGGGUGAUCGGCCGCACUGGAACUGAGACACGGUCCAGACUCCUACGGGAGGCAGCAGUAGGGAAUCUUCCGCAAAGGGCGAAAGCUUGACGGAGCAACGCCGCGUGAGUGAUGAAGGUCUUCGGAUCGUAAAACUCUGUUAUUAGGGAAGAACAAAUGUGUAAGUAACUAUGCACGUAUUGACGGUACCUAAUCAGAAAGCCACGGCUAACUACGUG